This 252-nucleotide ribosomal RNA is filed under the name uncultured bacterium. Its description in RNAcentral is "partial 16S ribosomal RNA". It matches the Rfam family "Bacterial small subunit ribosomal RNA", at positions 524 to 776 of the family's 1533-position model. The record is from RNAcentral.
UACGUAAGGACCGAGCGUUGUCCGGAAUCAUUGGGCGUAAAGGGUACGUAGGUGGUUAAGAAAGUUAGAAGUGAAAGGCUUUAGCUCAACUAAUGUAAGCUUUUAAAACUGCUAAACUUGAGAGAUUGAGGGGAAAGUGGAAUUCCUAGUGUAGCGGUGAAAUGCGCAGAUAUUAGGAGGAAUACCAGUGGCGAAGGCGACUUUCUGGCAAUAAACUGACGCUGAGGUACGAAAGCGUGGGUAGCAAACAGG